Molecule: non-coding RNA, 1108 nt
Organism: Lolium perenne
Lineage: Eukaryota; Viridiplantae; Streptophyta; Magnoliopsida; Poales; Poaceae
Source: RefSeq, a predicted model, not a curated record
GGAACUGACAAAGAGAAGAAGAGAGAGCUGAACCAAUCGCCCAUGUUGCUACUGAAACCCAUCUCCACCUUGUUUUUCCUUUUCAACUUGGUCGUACCAACUCCAGCCCAGCUAAUCAGCAGCCCAGGCUCUCAUCUUUCACAUGUCUUCUCCUUGCACAGAGAGAGAGCACGAGACCAGCGUGUAUCUCCAUGAAGUCAUUGAGCCAACCACUCCACUUUUCCUCUCAAAAAUUGUCCACCAGCACCAGAUCCAAACCCUAAGGCCUCUCCCUUCCCUCGCGCCGCCACUAGCUGCCCACUUCGUUCUUCCCCUCUCCCAUGAAGAAGAGAAAGAAAAUUCAGUUAAGAGUUCAGAGAAACACCACCGCAGCAUGCUGUCGCACCACCGUGUCCGGUCGCCCCACGCCAAUCCGACGCCAUCAGGAGAUCCGCCUCGUCGCCAUGGUCAUCCUCGUGAAAGGAAUCGAACCGGGAGGGCCUCGGUUGAGCACAAGGUCGCCGAUUCCGUAUGCCGGCCGCCGCAGUUCAUCGAUGUUUCUGACGCCGUACGACCUCCUCCGGUGCAUCCGAGCAUGGCUUCGUGUUCCUGGUGUCCGUCUCCGGCGACGCUCCGGUGUUCCCCGCUCCAAGCACCAUCACCAUCAGGUUCAGCGUAUCGAGGCACAUCCCCUGCGACCACUCCCUCCUCGUGGUUCACUGCCAAGUGCCAACCAUCGAAUCCGCUCGCGACCAGCAUCUUUGUCCGUGUUGGCGACCAGCACUCCAAGGGUACAGCUUUGUUCAGUUUCGUCAGUUGUGGUACAUCGUCCACUGUUUCAAGUGGCUGCACGUCUCUUUCUGUUUAGCAUCUGCGCUGUAGCCCAUCUGAUCCUAUGCUUGGAGACAGUUCAGUGUACACGUGAGCCAAUCUAAAUCAGCUUCAGCAAAGCAACCCAGUGGCUAUAGCCUUCAUCUCUUUCACGGUGGUAUCAUGAUCAAGACCAGAGUGUGCUGCUUCUGUUCGUCGGUGCAGGCCAGCGUUUUGCUUCUUUCCGGAUAGGAUCACGAAGUGGUGCGGUGAGAUACGACAAGUUCUCCGGAUGUCCCUCGGCAAUCUUUAACAGGCA